This 469-nucleotide ribosomal RNA is filed under the name uncultured bacterium. Its description in RNAcentral is "bacterial SSU rRNA". It matches the Rfam family "Bacterial small subunit ribosomal RNA", at positions 95 to 600 of the family's 1533-position model. The record is from RNAcentral.
GUGGCGGACGGGUGAGUAACGCGUGGGAACGUGCCCUUUGGUACGGAACAACUGAGGGAAACUUCAGCUAAUACCGUAUGUGCCCUUCGGGGGAAAGAUUUAUCGCCAUUGGAGCGGCCCGCGUUGGAUUAGCUAGUUGGUGGGGUAAUGGCCCACCAAGGCGACGAUCCAUAGCUGGUCUGAGAGGAUGAUCAGCCACACUGGGACUGAGACACGGCCCAGACUCCUACGGGAGGCAGCAGUAGGGAAUCUUGCGCAAUGGGCGAAAGCCUGACGCAGCCAUGCCGCGUGAAUGAUGAAGGUCUUAGGAUUGUAAAAUUCUUUCACCGGGGACGAUAAUGACGGUACCCGGAGAAGAAGCCCCGGCUAACUUCGUGCCAGCAGCCGCGGUAAUACGAAGGGGGCUAGCGUUGCUCGGAAUUACUGGGCGUAAAGGGCGCGUAGGCGGAUAGUUAGUCAGAGGUGAAAG